Molecule: ribosomal RNA, 486 nt
Filed under: uncultured bacterium
Lineage: Bacteria
Description: partial 16S ribosomal RNA
Rfam family: Bacterial small subunit ribosomal RNA
Source: RNAcentral
AUUGAACGCUGGCGGCAUGCCUUACACAUGCAAGUCGAACGGCAGCACGGGUGCUUGCACCUGGUGGCGAGUGGCGAACGGGUGAGUAAUACAUCGGAACAUGUCCUGUAGUGGGGGAUAGCCCGGCGAAAGCCGGAUUAAUACCGCAUACGAUCUACGGAUGAAAGCGGGGGACCUUCGGGCCUCGCGCUAUAUGGUUGGCCGAUGGCUGAUUAGCUAGUUGGUGGGGUAAAGGCCUACCAAGGCGACGAUCAGUAGCUGGUCUGAGAGGACGACCAGCCACACUGGGACUGAGACACGGCCCAGACUCCUACGGGAGGCAGCAGUGGGGAAUUUUGGACAAUGGGCGAAAGCCUGAUCCAGCAAUGCCGCGUGUGUGAAGAAGGCCUUCGGGUUGUAAAGCACUUUUGUCCGGAAAGAAAUCCUUGGCCCUAAUACGGUCGGGGGAUGACGGUACCGGAAGAAUAAGCACCGGCUAACUACGUG